Sapajus apella (tufted capuchin) is the source of this 709-nucleotide non-coding RNA. The record is from the annotation of a RefSeq genome assembly. NCBI's taxonomy places the organism in Eukaryota, Metazoa, Chordata, Mammalia, Primates, Cebidae.
AGCUCUGCUUCAGCUGUGGGCACAGAAGGCAGGACUCAGGAGAAUCUUCAUAAUGACUUGGUCCCCGCUCCUCCUCACGCUUCUCAUUCACUGCACAGGGUCCUGGGCCCAGACUGUGCUGACUCAGCCGACUUCAGUGUCUGGGAACCCUGGGCAGAGGGUCACCAUCUCCUGUUCUGGAAGCAGCUCCAACAUCGGGAGUAAUUCUGUAAACUGGUACCAGCAGCUCCCAGGAACAGCCCCCAAACUCCUCAUCUAUGGUACCAGCAAUCGGCCCUCAGGGGUCCCUGACCGAUUCUCUGGCUCCAAGUCCGGCACCUCAGCCUCCCUGACCAUCACUGGUCUCCAGCCUGAGGACGAGGCCGAUUAUUACUGCUUAGCAUGGGAUGGCAGCCUGAGUGCUCGCACAGUGCUCCAGGCCAAUGAGGAACUGAGACAAGAACCCUCUUCCUCCUCUGCCAGGAAGGUAAGUCCCUGGCAGCUGCUGCUCAGGCCUGCUCUGUGGCUUCUGCUGCUGAAACUUCCCCACUGGUCCCAGCGGCAUCCAGGGCCCUGCCUGAGAGCAGAGGCUCCAUUUCUUUGUACUCAGUCAGGAACAGGAACUCUAAGAAACAGAGCUUCCUAUCCUGCAUCUUGGGACACAGGGUGUCUGUACUGCAAUCCUGGGCUGAGGCGGCAGGGCCAGCUGUCAUCACAGACCUUCCUCUGA